RNAcentral lists this long non-coding RNA (211 nucleotides) under Bos mutus (wild yak). RNAcentral's name for it is "lncRNA (ENSBMUG00000000704.1)". Lineage: Eukaryota; Metazoa; Chordata; Mammalia; Artiodactyla; Bovidae. The record is from RNAcentral.
AACCUUGAGAGGCGACAGCCUGCUACAGAGAAGAGGAAGAAGAACCAAGACAGAUCCAAAGAAAGGAUGCUGCCACCACGCUGACUUCUGGUUAGGUGUCCUUGGACAGAGGAGAAUGGAGGCAGGAUACAGAAUAGAAAGCCAAGGAAUGUUCAAGAAGUCACGUGGGAAAAGCAAUAUGAAAGCCAAAGUUGGAGAAAUUUUACCCUGG